Molecule: long non-coding RNA, 371 nt
Filed under: Drosophila melanogaster (fruit fly)
Lineage: Eukaryota; Metazoa; Arthropoda; Insecta; Diptera; Drosophilidae
Description: long non-coding RNA:CR43256 (Dmel_CR43256)
Source: RNAcentral
UAAAGACUUUCUAAGUCAAGCCGUUUCAAGAUUUAGCACAACAUAAUGUUGCACUUUUUUUGAUGACAUCCGAUUGUUUAUUGCGACUCCGCGCGGCAAUGUGCUUCCUUCUACAUUCUUGGCUUUGACUUUACGCGACUGAACUGCCUCUCAGUUCGUUCAACGUAUGAUACGAUAAUAUACUGUUAUUCUACCGCUCGUUUUACAUACGCUUACAAAUGGUAAUAUUGUACCUAAUUUCAACAACUGUCCUUAAUGUUACCAUUUUUCAAUUAAUUUCUCAAAAAUUUACACAACAUUUCUCAUGUAUAAGUUUUGACAAAAUCUUUUUUACAUGUCGGCUAUUAUUAAACAUAUCGUUCAAAAUCGCU